AGAGUUUGAUUCUGGCUCAGGAUGAACGCUGGCGGCGUGCCUAACACAUGCAAGUCGAACGAAGCACUUAGACAGAACCUUCGGGUGACGUAUUGGUGACUGAGUGGCGGACGGGUGAGUAACGCGUGGGUAACCUGCCCUGUACAGGGGGAUAACAGUUAGAAAUGACUGCUAAUACCGCAUAAGCGCACGAUGGUAGCAUUACCAGGUGUGAAAAACUCCGGUGGUACAGGAUGGGCCCGCGUCUGAUUAGCUUGUUGGCGGGGUAAGAGCCCACCAAGGCGACGAUCAGUAGCCGGUCUGAGAGGAUGAACGGCCACAUUGGAACUGAGACACGGUCCAAACUCCUACGGGAGGCAGCAGUGGGGAAUAUUGCACAAUGGGGGGAACCCUGAUGCAGCCAACGCCGCGUGAGUGAAGAAGUAUUUCGGUAUGUAAAGCUCUAUCAGCAGGGAAGAUAAUGACGGUACCUGACUAAGAAGCUCCGGCUAAAUACGUGCCAGCCGCAGC
Molecule: ribosomal RNA, 510 nt
Filed under: uncultured bacterium
Lineage: Bacteria
Description: bacterial SSU rRNA
Rfam family: Bacterial small subunit ribosomal RNA
Source: RNAcentral